CGUGUAGGCGGUUUUUUAAGUCUGAUGUGAAAGCCCUGGGCUCAACCCGGGAAGUGCAUUGGAAACUGGGAGACUUGAAUACGGGAGAGGGUAGUGGAAUUCCUGGUGUAGGAGUGAAAUCCGUAGAUAUCAGGAGGAACACCGGUGGCGAAGGCGGCUACCUGGACCGAUAUUGACGCUGAGACGCGAAAGCGUGGGGAGCAAACAGGAUUAGAUACCCUGGUAGUCCACGCCGUAAACGAUGAGUACUAGGUGUCGCGGGUAUUGACCCCUGCGGUGCCGCAGCUAACGCAUUAAGUACUCCGCCUGGGAAGUACGGCCGCAAGGCUAAA
This 332-nucleotide ribosomal RNA is filed under the name uncultured bacterium. Its description in RNAcentral is "bacterial SSU rRNA". It matches the Rfam family "Bacterial small subunit ribosomal RNA", at positions 568 to 898 of the family's 1533-position model. The record is from RNAcentral.